AGAAAAUGGAUUUUUUUGGAGGGAGCAGGGGGUACUGAUGACUGAAUCCAGGGUCACUCUACCAGUAAGCUACAUCCCCAACCCCGCCUUUUUUCCCCAUUUUUGAAUUUUGAGAUAGGGUCUCACUAAGUUGACUCAGGCUGGCCUCAAACUUGCAAUCCUCCUGCCUUAGCCUCCUGAGUAGCUGGGAUUAAAGGCAUGUUUCACUAAACCCAACAAGAAAAUAGGAUUUUUCUGUACAUUUCUUUGAAUUACAUACAAACACAGGCCUUCAUUUCAACCAUCUGAUCUAGCAGAACAAAGGUGGGUUUUGGCAUUAGACUUGAGUUUGAAUUGUGGCUGUAGGACGUACUGGUUGUGUGCUCUUGGGUAGGUGACUGCAUUCUUAGAAUGUCAGUGCCCUCAUCUUUGAAAUGGGGGUUCCAUAACACACUUGGCAGUGGGGUCACAGGGAUGUGCCAAAAUAACACACAGCACAGGGAAGAGGAGGGUGUCUGCCACGCUGACAGUGACUAGCAUAUGGAACUCCAGCCGAGGCCUGCCCCUUCUGCUCAGAAGUGACUCCAACUUGCCAGUCCUGACUUCUGAGAGCUUUUGCUAAAAAUGUAAGAGUCUGUCCUUAGAAGAAUAAUACUGGACAGAUUUGUGGAGCCUCUUGCUGCACGCCAGGCAUGUGCACCUUGGCUUCCAUAUAGUGCUGCCUCCCACAUCUGGAGCAGCAGCCUCUCCAGGGGCUGAGGAGGGGGAACAAGCCUGAUCACAGAGGCAUGUAGAGACCUCCUACGGAAAGCGUGGCUUUGCCUCAGUGUCAGCUGCUAAGAUUGGGUUUUUUUUCCUAAGAAAUAAAGAUGAAAAGGAGUCAGUUGUACUUUCUUUUCUUUUUUUUGUGGGUACCAGGGAUUGAACUCAGGGGCAUUGGCCACUG
RNAcentral lists this long non-coding RNA (925 nucleotides) under Marmota monax (woodchuck). Lineage: Eukaryota; Metazoa; Chordata; Mammalia; Rodentia; Sciuridae. The record is from RNAcentral.